UGCUCAUUUUAGUCCAGGUUUGUGGUUUGUUAUGUUGCUGGAUUCCAGCCAUCAUGAUCUGUUGACAUUGAAUUCCCCACUGAGCGUCCUUGAGAUCUGGAUUAUUCAGUAGAGACGAGACACACAUGCAGUAUAGCAGUAAAUCUUCCUGUGUUGGAACACACUGAAUGCAAAAAUUUGAAAACUGUUUUUGAUGUUCUCCAGUUAUAUUUGUGUAAGCUAAAUCAGCAGUGGACUCAUUGUGUGACCUAAUAUGGUAUUAAAUAUCUUUAUUCUUGUUGUGGCCAAACACUGUAAUCUGAUCUCAUCGUCAGAGAUUUGCAUCAUCAGUUAUUGUAAUGAAAAUAACAAAGACAAGAUCGAUUUUAAAAGAAAGAAAAGAGACUAAACCAGUUCAGGCACAUUCUCCAGUCGCUUCAUGCGUCACAGAAGCUGAUAGACAUAUUUACUCGGUCAUUUCCUGGUCGAUUCUGGUGUUCUUUGCUGUGAUUACUGGAGGUUUGACGCUUCAGUAGCUGCCUGCUUUAAGGAUUUAAAUGAAACAAAAAUCUGAAAAAAGAAAUAAAUAUUUCCAAAUCUGGAUUUAGUAGGAUGACGAGAAAACUAAAAGAGAUGCCAGAGUGAAAGAACAAAAUACAGCUGAACAAAAAGAAAAGAGGACAAAGGAAAGUGCACUGAGAGGCAAAGCCGAACCUACGCAGAAGGAAACAACAAUGAAGAGAGGAAAAGAAAAUGCCUGUGGAUUCAGAGAACAUCUUAAAGUGCACCAGAUGAACAGCCUUGACAAAUAUCGACCGGACUACUGACCUGCAGAAAAUCAUUUUAUGUGAGAGAUAUUCAAAGAUGAGAAUGUUCUUCGCAUCACUUUCAGUCAAUGAUUCAGAAUGAGACUGGAAUACAAAACACCAAUAUUUUUGAGUUCAUAACUUGAUGACUAUAACUGUACUGUGUACAUAUUUAAACAUAUUAAGAUUUAAUAUUGUGUACACAGGAUUAUAUAUGUGUCAUAUGAUAGCAAUACGAUCAAUUAGUGCUAAAGUAGUAACACUGAAAUCAAAAGUUUGAACUGUUUUGCACUAUUUGAACUGUAGCUGUACAUAGUUCUCAUUUCUAGUAUAAAGAGCAUUGAGAACAAUGACUGUAAAGCAGUAGUUGUUCCAGAAAUGCCAGGUCACUCUUUUCCAUGUGAUCAUACAGUGAGACUGGAGAUUUCCUAAAGCUUCAUGGUUUGGUUUGUAGACAAACUGUCUAGAUUUUAACUCCUGUGACUUCAGGCACUUUAUUCUGGCAUGCAGAAGAUGAUUAUUCUUCUUUAAACGUGUCAUUACUUUACUUGUAUUUUCUGUUAAGGAGGUGUUUUUAUCUGAAGCAUCUAGUACCUGGUGUCGAGUGUCGAGUUCAGGUGCACAUUGAUCUCUGUUUAUGAAUUGCAUGAAGCAAACGAUCACAGGGGAUUGAGUUUCUGUAUUAUUUUGAGUCUGUUCACUUUGUGAAAGAUUAUGAAAGUGUCCAAGUGUACAUUACACUGUCCUUAUUCCUGAACAGGUGUUUGUUUUCAGUCAUUAUGAUGACUAUCCAAAUCUGUCCAAGUGUCUGUUGCUUUGCAUUCCACAAUAAAUAUUUCACUUCAGCCAA
Molecule: long non-coding RNA, 1635 nt
Organism: Cyprinus carpio (common carp)
Lineage: Eukaryota; Metazoa; Chordata; Actinopteri; Cypriniformes; Cyprinidae
Source: RefSeq, a predicted model, not a curated record